GAUGAACGCUAGCGGCAGGCCUAACACAUGCAAGUCGAGGGAGAAGCCCUUUCGGGGGCAGAAACCGGCGCACGGGUGCGUAACUCGUAUGCAACCUACCUUUCACAGGGGGAUAGCCCGAAGAAAUUUGGAUUAAUACCCCAUCAUAUUAUUGGAUGGCAUCAUUUGAUAAUUAAAACUGCGGUGGUUAAAGAUUGGCAUGCGUCCUAUUAGCUAGUUGGAGUGGUAACGGCACUCCAAGGCUACGAUAGGUAGGGGUCCUGAGAGGGAGAUCCCCCACAAUGGUAAUGAGACAGGGACCAGACUCGUACGGGAGGCAGAAGUGAGGAAGAUUGGGCAAGGGUCGGAAGACUGAACCAGCCAUGCCGCGUGCAGGAAGAAUGCCUUAUGGGUUGUAAACUGCUUUGAUAUGGGGAGAAUAAGGCGUACGUGUACGUUGAUGACGGUACCAUAUGAAUAAGCAUCGGCUAACUCCGUG
RNAcentral lists this ribosomal RNA (478 nucleotides) under uncultured bacterium. RNAcentral describes it as "partial 16S ribosomal RNA". It matches the Rfam family "Bacterial small subunit ribosomal RNA", at positions 28 to 507 of the family's 1533-position model. The record is from RNAcentral.